This 1482-nucleotide ribosomal RNA is filed under the name uncultured prokaryote. RNAcentral's name for it is "partial 16S ribosomal RNA". It matches the Rfam family "Bacterial small subunit ribosomal RNA". The record is from RNAcentral.
AGAGUUUGAUCCUGGCUCAGGAUGAACGCUAGCGGGAGGCUUAACACAUGCAAGUCGAGGGGCAGCAUUGGUACUUGUACCAGAUGGCGACCGGCGCACGGGUGAGUAACGCGUAUGCAACCUACCUUUUACAGGGGAAUAGCCCAGAGAAAUUUGGAUUAAUGCCCCAUGGUUCUAUAAUGCCGCAUGGUAUAAUGGAUAAAGUUUCGGCGGUAAAAGAUGGGCAUGCGUGACAUUAGCUAGUUGGUAAGGUAACGGCUUACCAAGGCGACGAUGUCUAGGGGUUCUGAGAGGAUUAUCCCCCACACUGGUACUGAGACACGGACCAGACUCCUACGGGAGGCAGCAGUGAGGAAUAUUGGUCAAUGGGCGAGAGCCUGAACCAGCCAUCCCGCGUGCAGGAUGACGGCCCUAUGGGUUGUAAACUGCUUUUAUAUACCAAGAAACCUAUCUACGUGUAGAUAGCUGACGGUAGUAUAUGAAUAAGCAUCGGCUAACUCCGUGCCAGCAGCCGCGGUAAUACGGAGGAUGCAAGCGUUAUCCGGAUUCAUUGGGUUUAAAGGGUGCGUAGGCGGUCUUUUAAGUCAGUGGUGAAAUCCUGCGGCUCAACCGUAGAACUGCCAUUGAAACUGAAAGACUUGAAUACACCAGAGGUAAGCGGAAUGUGUAGUGUAGCGGUGAAAUGCUUAGAUAUUACACAGAACACCGAUUGCGAAGGCAGCUUACUAUAGUGUCAUUGACGCUGAUGCACGAAAGCGUGGGUAGCGAACAGGAUUAGAUACCCUGGUAGUCCACGCCGUAAACGAUGAUAACUAGCUGUUUGCGAUACACAGUAAGCGGCAAAGCGAAAGCAUUAAGUUAUCCACCUGGGGAGUACGGUCGCAAGAUUGAAACUCAAAGGAAUUGACGGGGGCCCGCACAAGCGGAGGAACAUGUGGUUUAAUUCGAUGAUACGCGAGGAACCUUACCUGGGCUUAAAUGUAUUUUGUAUGAUUUGGAAACAGAUCUUUCCUUCGGGACUAUUUACAAGGUGCUGCAUGGUUGUCGUCAGCUCGUGCCGUGAGGUGUCGGGUUAAGUCCCAUAACGAGCGCAACCCCUAUCGUUAGUUGCUAGCAGGUCAAGCUGAGGACUCUAACGAGACUGCCGGUGUAAACCGAGAGGAAGGUGGGGAUGACGUCAAAUCAGCACGGCCCUUACGUCCAGGGCUACACACGUGUUACAAUGGCCGAUACAGAGGGCAGCUACCUGGUGACAGGAUGCAAAUCUCGAAAGUCGGUCUCAGUUCGGAUCGGAGUCUGCAACUCGACUCCGUGAAGGUGGAUUCGCUAGUAAUCGCGUAUCAGCAAUGACGCGGUGAAUACGUUCCCGGGCCUUGUACACACCGCCCGUCAAGACAUGGAAGCUGGGAGUACCUGAAGUACGUGACCGUAAGGAGCGUCCUAGGGUAAAACUAGUGACUGGGGUUAAGUCGUAACAAGGUA